ACUGGUAGAGGAGCGGUCUUCAACAGUACCACAUUAUCACGGCAGGGGCCAGAUGUGGGAAAGGGGAUACCGCCGAAGGAUUUCUUUUUGCCCCUUGCAAAGGCAAUCCUGGGCCGGCAUAAAAUAUGUGCCGGACUGUCACAAAUAAAGUGGAGCGCUACCA
RNAcentral lists this non-coding RNA (163 nucleotides) under human gut metagenome. RNAcentral's name for it is "Lysine riboswitch". It matches the Rfam family "Lysine riboswitch aptamer". Rfam says of the family: Riboswitches are metabolite binding domains within certain messenger RNAs that serve as precision sensors for their corresponding targets. The record is from RNAcentral.